This 336-nucleotide unclassified non-coding RNA is filed under the name Hevea brasiliensis (rubber tree). Lineage: Eukaryota; Viridiplantae; Streptophyta; Magnoliopsida; Malpighiales; Euphorbiaceae. The record is from RNAcentral.
GGGCAACGGUUCUCAGCCCAUAGUCAGCAAUGGAAAAGAGCUUGAUCAGUUCAUGACGCAUUAUGUUUUAUUACUUUGUUCUUUUAAAGAACAACUCCAGCAGCAUGUUCGUGUCCAUGCAAUGGAAGCAGUAUAUGCCUGCUGGGAAAUUGAGCAAUCUUUGCAAAGCUUGACAGGUGUUUCACCAGGUGAAGGUACGGGUGCUACAAUGUCUGAUGACGACGAAGACCAGAUAGAUAGCGAUGCUAAUUUGUUUGAUGGAAGUUUGGAGGGUCAUGACGCUAUGGGAUUUGGUCCCCUUAUCCCAACAGAGAGUGAGAGAUCCUUGAUGGAAAG